GUCCCUGUUUGUUUCCAGAAGGUGCAGCAUGCAACUCCUGAAGGCAAGAGGCCUGCGAAGGCAUUCAGGACAGAACAGCCGUGCUGCAAAGAUGGUCAAUGUACCUAAAACCCGAAGAGCCUUCGGUAAGAAGUGUGGCAAGCAUCAGCCUCACAAAGUGACACAGUAUAAGAAGAGCAAGGAUUCCUUGUAUGCCCAGGGAAAGAGGUGCUAUGAUCGGAAGCAGAGUAGCCAUGGUGGGCAGACAUAGCCAAUUUUCUGGAAGAAGGCUAAGACCACAAAGAAGGUUGUGCUAAGGCUGGAAUGUGUUGAGCCUAACUGCAGAUCCAAGAGGAUGCUGGCCAUUAAGAGAUGCAAGCAUUUUGAACUGGAAGGAGAUAAGAGAAAG
RNAcentral lists this long non-coding RNA (388 nucleotides) under Homo sapiens (human). RNAcentral's name for it is "PREDICTED lncRNA (TCONS_00090672)". Lineage: Eukaryota; Metazoa; Chordata; Mammalia; Primates; Hominidae. The record is from RNAcentral.